RNAcentral lists this long non-coding RNA (233 nucleotides) under Nicotiana benthamiana. RNAcentral describes it as "long non-coding RNA (NBEN_LNC036336)". The record is from RNAcentral. Lineage: Eukaryota; Viridiplantae; Streptophyta; Magnoliopsida; Solanales; Solanaceae.
AGGGGCUCCUAGAGUUUUUCGUACUCCUCACCCGGGUUUGGGUGAGGCUUGACAGGGCUAUCCAUAGAUGAUCUGUGUUUUGGACUGUGUCUCCCUUAUGGUAGUUAAUUAUGAUAGUUACUGUAUGAUAUUAUUGCAUGCUAUUUUAUUUAUGGUUCUUAUGUUUAGAUAAUUGUUUACGCUAUUUCUACUGGAGUUACUAAUGUUCUUUUGUUUGUUUUGUUUAUCCUUCC